UACAGGGGGUGCAAACGUUGCUCGGAAUCACUGGGCGUAAGCGCACGUAGGCGGAUUGCUAAGUCAGGGGGUGAAAUCCUGGAGCUCAACUCCAGAACUGCCUUUGAUACUGGUGAUCUUGAGUCCGGGAGAGGUGAGUGGAAACUGGCGAGUGUAGAGGUGAAAUUCGUAGAUAUUCGCAAGAACACCAGUAGGCGAAGGGCGGACUCAC
RNAcentral lists this ribosomal RNA (211 nucleotides) under uncultured bacterium. Its description in RNAcentral is "partial 16S ribosomal RNA". It matches the Rfam family "Bacterial small subunit ribosomal RNA", at positions 524 to 729 of the family's 1533-position model. The record is from RNAcentral.